UGGGGAAUAUUGGACAAUGGGCGCAAGCCUGAUCCAGCCAUGCCGCGUGAACGAUGAAGGCCUUAGGGUUGUAAAGUUCUUUUGUCAGGGAAGAUAAUGACGGUACCUGAAGAAUAAGCACCGGCUAACUUCGUGCCAGCAGCCGCGGUAAUACGAAGGGUGCUAGCGUUGUUCGGAAUCACUGGGCGUAAAGGGCGCGUAGGCGGCAAUUCAAGUCAUCUGUGAAAUCUCCGGGCUUAACUCGGAACGGUCAGAUGAUACUGCUUUGCUAGAGUGCAGAAGGGGCAAUCGGAAUUCUUGGUGUAGCGGUGAAAUGCGUAGAUAUCAAGAGGAACACCUGAGGUGAAGACGGGUUGCUGGGCUGACACUGACGCUGAGGCGCGAAAGCCAGGGGAGCAAACGGGAUUAGAUACCCUUGUAGUCCCUG
Molecule: ribosomal RNA, 427 nt
Filed under: uncultured bacterium
Lineage: Bacteria
Description: bacterial SSU rRNA
Rfam family: Bacterial small subunit ribosomal RNA
Source: RNAcentral